This 301-nucleotide ribosomal RNA is filed under the name uncultured bacterium. RNAcentral's name for it is "partial 16S ribosomal RNA". It matches the Rfam family "Bacterial small subunit ribosomal RNA", at positions 509 to 807 of the family's 1533-position model. The record is from RNAcentral.
CAGCAGCCGCGGUAAUACGAAGGGUGCAAGCGGUACUCGGAAUUACUGGGCGUAAAGCGUGCGUAGGUGGUGGUUUAAGUCCGUUGUGAAAGCCCUGGGCUCAACCUGGGAAUUGCAGUGGAUACUGGGUCACUAGAGUGUGGUAGAGGAUAGUGGAAUUUCCGGUGUAGCAGUGAAAUGCGUAGAGAUCGGAAGGAACAUCUGUGGCGAAGGCGACUAUCUGGGCCAACACUGACACUGAGGCACGAAAGCGUGGGGAGCAAACAGGAUUAGAUACCCCUGUAGUCCCUGUCUCUUAUAC